CCCUUAGAUGUUCUGGGCCGCACGCGCGCUACACUGAUGCAUUCAACGAGCCUAUCCUUGACCGACAGGUCCGGGUAAUCUUUGAAUCUGCAUCGUGACGGGGAUAGAUUAUUGCAAUUAUUAAUCUUCAACGAGGAAUGCCUAGUAGGCGCAAGUCAUCAGCUUGCGUCGAUUACGUCCCUGCCCUUUGUACACACCGCCCGUCGUUCCUACCGAUUGGGUGUGCUGGUGAAAUGUUCGGAUCGGCCGUUUGUCGCGGUUUCCGCGGCUCGUGGCUGAGAAGUUCAUUAAACCCUCCCACCUAGAGGAAGGAGAAGUCGUAACA
This 325-nucleotide ribosomal RNA is filed under the name uncultured eukaryote. Its description in RNAcentral is "partial 18S ribosomal RNA". It matches the Rfam family "Eukaryotic small subunit ribosomal RNA", at positions 1470 to 1796 of the family's 1831-position model. The record is from RNAcentral.